AUUGAACGCUGGCGGCAGGCUUAACACAUGCAAGUCGAGCGGGAAUAGGUAGCUUGCUACCGAUUUCUAGCGGCGGACGGGUGAGUAAUGCUUAGGAAUCUGCCUAUUAGUGGGGGACAACCUUUCGAAAGGGAUGCUAAUACCGAAUACGUCCUUCGGGAGAAAGCAGGGGAUAUUCGGAACUUUCUCCAAUAGAUGAUCCUAAGGCGGAUUGGCUAUUUGGUGGGGAAAAGGCCUACCAGGGCGACGAUCUGUAGCGGGUCUGAGAGGAUGAUCCGCCACACUGGGACUGAGACACGGCCCAGACUCCUACGGGAGGCAGCAGUGGGGAAUAUUGGACAAUGGGGGGAACCCUGAUCCAGCCAUGCCGCGUGUGUGAAGAAGGCCUUUUGGUUGUAAAGCACUUUAAGCGAGGAGGAGGCUACUUUGGUUAAUACCUAAAGAUAGUGGACGUUACUCGCAGAAUAAGCACCGGCUAACUCUGUGCCAGCAGCCGCAGUAA
RNAcentral lists this ribosomal RNA (502 nucleotides) under uncultured bacterium. RNAcentral describes it as "partial 16S ribosomal RNA". It matches the Rfam family "Bacterial small subunit ribosomal RNA", at positions 30 to 523 of the family's 1533-position model. The record is from RNAcentral.